RNAcentral lists this ribosomal RNA (468 nucleotides) under uncultured bacterium. Its description in RNAcentral is "partial 16S ribosomal RNA". It matches the Rfam family "Bacterial small subunit ribosomal RNA", at positions 28 to 507 of the family's 1533-position model. The record is from RNAcentral.
GACGAACGCUGGCGGCGUGCUUAACACAUGCAAGUCGAACGGAAAGGCUCUGCUUUUGUGGGGUGCUCGAGUGGCGAACGGGUGAGUAACACGUGAGUAACCUGCCCUUGACUUUGGGAUAACUUCAGGAAACUGGGGCUAAUACCGGAUAGGAGCUCCUGCUGCAUGGUGGGGGUUGGAAAGUUUCGGCGGUUGGGGAUGGACUCGCGGCUUAUCAGCUUGUUGGUGGGGUAGUGGCUUACCAAGGCUUUGACGGGUAGCCGGCCUGAGAGGGUGACCGGCCACAUUGGGACUGAGAUACGGCCCAGACUCCUACGGGAGGCAGCAGUGGGGAAUAUUGCACGAUGGGCGGAAGCCUGAUGCAGCAACGCCGCGUGCGGGAUGACGGCCGUCGGGUUGUAAACCGCUUUCGCCUGUGACGAAGCGUGAGUGACGGUAAUGGGUAAAGAAGCACCGGCUAACUACGUG